Molecule: ribosomal RNA, 468 nt
Filed under: uncultured bacterium
Lineage: Bacteria
Description: partial 16S ribosomal RNA
Rfam family: Bacterial small subunit ribosomal RNA
Source: RNAcentral
GACGAACGCUGGCGGCGUGCUUAACACAUGCAAGUCGAACGGAAAGGCCCUGCUUUUGUUGGGUGCUCGAGUGGCGAACGGGUGAAUAACACGUGAGUAACCUGCCCUUGACUUUGGGAUAACUUCAGGAAACUGGGGCUCAUACCGGAUAUGAGCUCCUGCUGCAUGGUGUGGGUUGGAAAGUUUCGGCGGUUGGGGAUGGACUCGCGGCUUAUCAGCUUGUUGGUGGGGUAGUGGCUUACCAAGGCUUUGACGGGUAGCCGGCCUGAGAGGGUGACCGGCCACAUUGGGACUGAGAUACGGCCCAGACUCCUACGGGAGGCAGCAGUGGGGAAUAUUGCACAAUGGGCGGAAGCCUGAUGCAGCAACGCCGCGUGCGGGAUGACGGCCUUCGGGUUGUAAACCGCUUUCGCCUGUGACGAAGCGUGAGUGACGGUAAUGGGUAAAGAAGCACCGGCUAACUACGUG